ACUUGACUGGACCAAAUAGAACAACAAUAGUUUUGAAUAGUUUAGUCAGAGUCCGCCAGUCCGGUUUUAGCAUAACCAAACUAGUCUCCAACUCUUUAAUUUUAAAUUUCCGGUCUUUAACUCGAUUUUGAACAGGUAAACAACUUCGUAACCUUUUUUUUUUUUUUUUUUGAAAACAACCUCGUAACUCCUAAAUGUCAUUUCCUUUCCUUGAUUUCUAACAUUCCAAUAGGUUUUAAUAAAUUACACUUACCCUUUGACAUGACUAACACGCGACAUUUUUGUUUUUUUUUUCAUGAUUAAAAGCCAUUGGGGUUUAAUUAUGCCCGGUCUAUAUAUCUCGAGGGUUAGAACAGUCUUCUCUCAAAAUUGGUUCAAGAGAUGGUGGGGUUACUCACUUAAUUGGGGCUGGAAGCGUCAUAAGAUGAAGGAGAAAAAGGAGGGAAAUAAAAAGUAAUGGGAAUUGGUCUGCUAUUCCGUAAUUCUCAGCCUUCUGAAAAAUCUUCAACUGCGCAUCAAUUUGGUGUUUUCAUCAAAAAGUAAGAACAUGGGACAAAAUCAUAGUCCAGUCUUCCUCAAAUUUCCCACAUAACUUCUACUGGAAGCAUAUCAUGCAUUUAAAACCCACUACUGGAUACGUAUAUCAUGAGCUCCUUUUGUAAUGAAUCGACAAGGACAACACACACGGAUGGUAACUUAUUUUACUACAAAAGCUCGAGUUCUGGUGCCUCUUGAUAAGACUCCUGUCUUGAUAUAUCAUCGUACAAGGUAAGGAAGCGCACUUGGGUUGGGUGAGGCAUCUCACCCUCAAAGUAUCUCGAGCUCAAUCAGGCUUAUACAGUGAGAAUUAAGUUAGAGGAUCUCAUCUUCAUUCUUCAAAGAGUCUAUUGAGAGUUAAAGUCACAAGCUCUACUCUUAUAUAUCCAAGGGACCUAGAUGUAUUGUUGUCCAACUUUGUUUACAACUCCAGCACAUUUGGCGAGUUUGAGUAACAUAAGAUUGAGUAGUUAAUUUUAUCAUAAAUCUUUGAAUAGAGGGUGUGUAUCUUAAACUCGUAUAUUGACUCUAGGUUACAAGAAGGUAUUGUUUUGGGUAGAUUAUGUUGUUGUUCUACAUACUCUAAAGUACAAAGUAUUGAUUUUUUCUUUCUUGGACGAUCUAUGUUACUUAGGUUUUAUGUAAAAAAUACUACUGUAGAUAAAUUCUUAUUAUCAAGAUAAUAGCAGUCUUAAAACUGAAGAUUAAAAGCAUGAUGAGUGACAUUAUAAGCCAAAUUCUUGUUACUUACAACAUCAUUCCUUCAUGAACCCUUGUCGCCGCCUAAAGAAGUGUCUAAGCUGGCUGA
Long non-coding RNA from Chenopodium quinoa (quinoa), 1345 nucleotides. RefSeq lists it as uncharacterized. The record is from RefSeq and is a predicted model, not a curated record. NCBI's taxonomy places the organism in Eukaryota, Viridiplantae, Streptophyta, Magnoliopsida, Caryophyllales, Amaranthaceae. The transcript is spliced from 4 exons.